RNAcentral lists this ribosomal RNA (501 nucleotides) under Triticum aestivum (bread wheat). RNAcentral's name for it is "partial small subunit ribosomal RNA". Lineage: Eukaryota; Viridiplantae; Streptophyta; Magnoliopsida; Poales; Poaceae. The record is from RNAcentral.
AUGAUAGGGGUUUUUUGGAAUUGUAGGGGGGCAGGAAAAGGUGGUAUGGCUUCCUGCCUCACGGAUAUCAUUAAUACCAAUAAAGUGGACUUCAUUGACCAUGAAAAGAGAUUAUAAGCCCUCCUUUUUAGGAGAUUUGACCCCCAUUCAGAUUUUAGAUGGGAAUGGAUCCCAUCGAUUGGGAAGUCUGGUGGGAUAUUAUGUGGAUUGAGACUAGAAACACUUGAGGUUAUAGAUGUUGUGCGUGGUAAAUAUAUAUUGCAGAUUAAUCUCUUUGACAAGGUUAAGAGAUGUGAAUGGGCUCUGUUGGUGGUGUAUGGUGCAGCCCACGAUGAAAAUAAACCUGAAUUUUUGGCUGAAUUGUCUUCCGUCUGUCAUAGGAUUAAAACUCCUUAUUUGGUGGGUGGUGAUUUUAACAUCAUUAGACACUGCGGGAAAAAAAUAAAAAGACCCCUUUAUCACAUUUCUCGGAUGUCUUUAACGCUGUCAUCCAUCUACUAA